RNAcentral lists this ribosomal RNA (100 nucleotides) under Pseudohaemophilus minor. The record is from RNAcentral. Lineage: Bacteria; Pseudomonadati; Pseudomonadota; Gammaproteobacteria; Pasteurellales; Pasteurellaceae. RNAcentral also lists the same sequence under 1 other name.
UAACCAUAGUGCGAUAGUUCUACCUGACCCCAUUCCGAACUCAGAAGUAAAAUGUCGUAACGCCGAUGGUAGUGUGGGGCUUCCCCAUGUGAGAGUAGGG